CAGACCAUGUGAAUAAAAACUUUCCUGCAAGGGAGAGCUACUUAAACUUCUGACGUCGUUGUUUUCCCCAUCAAGCCGCUCAUUAUGUGGUUCACGCUCAUUGCCAAUCUCUUCAGAUUCAGUUUGACCAAAGUAACUUAUGGCUGGAGGUGAAUGGCUUGCUUCAGUAUCUGACUUGUAUACACCAUCAUAAUCAUCCUUG
RNAcentral lists this unclassified non-coding RNA (202 nucleotides) under Hevea brasiliensis (rubber tree). The record is from RNAcentral. Lineage: Eukaryota; Viridiplantae; Streptophyta; Magnoliopsida; Malpighiales; Euphorbiaceae.